RNAcentral lists this ribosomal RNA (523 nucleotides) under uncultured bacterium. Its description in RNAcentral is "partial 16S ribosomal RNA". It matches the Rfam family "Bacterial small subunit ribosomal RNA", at positions 28 to 523 of the family's 1533-position model. The record is from RNAcentral.
GACGAACGCUGGCGGCGUGCCUAAUACAUGCAAGUCGAACGCUUCUUUUUCCACCGGAGCUUGCUCCACCGGAAAAAGAGGAGUGGCGAACGGGUGAGUAACACGUGGGUAACCUGCCCAUCAGAAGGGGAUAACACUUGGAAACAGGUGCUAAUACCGUAUAACAAUCAAAACCGCAUGGUUUUGAUUUGAAAGGCGCUUUCGGGUGUCGCUGAUGAUGGACCCGCGGUGCAUUAGCUAGUUGGUGAGGUAACGGCUCACCAAGGCCACGAUGCAUAGCCGACCUGAGAGGGUGAUCGGCCACAUUGGGACUGAGACACGGCCCAAACUCCUACGGGAGGCAGCAGUAGGGAAUCUUCGGCAAUGGACGAAAGUCUGACCGAGCAACGCCGCGUGAGUGAAGAAGGUUUUCGGAUCGUAAAACUCUGUUGUUAGAGAAGAACAAGGAUGAGAGUAACUGUUCAUCCCUUGACGGUAUCUAACCAGAAAGCCACGGCUAACUACGUGCCAGCAGCCGCCGUAA